This 548-nucleotide ribosomal RNA is filed under the name uncultured bacterium. RNAcentral's name for it is "bacterial SSU rRNA". It matches the Rfam family "Bacterial small subunit ribosomal RNA", at positions 45 to 575 of the family's 1533-position model. The record is from RNAcentral.
UGCUACACAUGCAGUCGUACGUGAAAGUUCCGCAAGGAACGAGUAAAGUGGCGAACGGGUGAGUAAUACAUAGGUAAUCUACUUAUAAGUUCGGGAUAACAGUUCGAAAGGAUUGCUAAUACCGGAUAAUGUGCUUAGUCAAAAGAUUAAGCGCCAAAGGUGGCCUCUUCACAAUGCUAUCGAUUAUAAAUGAGCCUAUGGACCAUUAGUUAGUUGGCAGGGUAAUAGCCUACCAAGACAAAGAUGGUUAGCUGGUCUGAGAGGAUGACCAGCCACACUGGAACUGAAACACGGUCCAGACUCCUACGGGAGGCAGCAGUGGGGAAUAUUGCGCAAUGGGGGAAACCCUGACGCAGCAACGCCGUGUGAGCGAUGAAGGCCUUCGGGUUGUAAAGCUCUGUUAAAUAAGAAGAGACUCCCAUAUUCUAAUACAAUAUGGGAUUGACGGUAUUAUUAGAGAAAGCACCGGCUAACUCCGUGCCAGCAGCCGCGGUAAGACGGAGGGUGCAAGCGUUGUUCGGAAUUACUGGGCGUAAAGGGCGAGUGGG